Molecule: ribosomal RNA, 465 nt
Filed under: uncultured bacterium
Lineage: Bacteria
Description: bacterial SSU rRNA
Rfam family: Bacterial small subunit ribosomal RNA
Source: RNAcentral
GGGCCCGCACAAGCGGUGGAGCAUGUGGUUUAAUUCGAUGCAACGCGAAGAACCUUACCUGGCCUUGACAUAGUAGAAACUUUCCAGAGAUGGAUUGGUGCCUUCGGGAAUCUACAUACAGGUGCUGCAUGGCUGUCGUCAGCUCGUGUCGUGAGAUGUUGGGUUAAGUCCCGCAACGAGCGCAACCCUUUUCCUUACUUGCCAGCAUUUCGGAUGGGAACUUUAAGGAUACUGCCAGUGACAAACUGGAGGAAGGCGGGGACGACGUCAAGUCAUCAUGGCCCUUACGGCCAGGGCUACACACGUGCUACAAUGGUCGGUACAAAGGGUUGCUACCUCGCGAGAGGAUGCUAAUCUCAAAAAGCCGAUCGUAGUCCGGAUCGCAGUCUGCAACUCGACUGCGUGAAGUCGGAAUCGCUAGUAAUCGCGGAUCAGAAUGCCGCGGUGAAUACGUUCCCGGGCCUU